AAUAAUCAAAGGAGCAAUCCGCUUUGAGAUGGACCCGCGGCGCAUUAGCUAGUUGGUGAGGUAAGGGCUCACCAAGGCGACGAUGCGUAGCCGCCCUGAGAGGGUGAUCGGCCACAUUGGAACUGAGACACGGUCCAGACUCCUACGGGAGGCAGCAGUGGGGAAUAUUGCGCAAUGGGGGAAACCCUGACGCAGCAACGCCGCGUGAGUGAUGAAGGUUUUCGGAUCGUAAAACUCUGUCUUUAGGGACGAUAAUGACGGUACCUAAGGAGGAAGCCACGGCUAACUACGUGCCAGCAGCCGCGGUAAUACGUAGGUGGCAAGCGUUGUCCGGAUUUACUGGGCGUAAAGAGUAUGUAGGUGGGUGCUUAAGUCAGAUGUGAAAUUCCCGGGCUUAACCUGGGCGCUGCAUUUGAAACUGGGCAUCUAGAGUGCAGGAGAGGAAAGUGGAAUUCCUAGUGUAGCGGUGAAAUGCGUAGAGAUUAGGAAGAACACCAGUGGC
RNAcentral lists this ribosomal RNA (502 nucleotides) under Clostridium botulinum C. RNAcentral describes it as "bacterial SSU rRNA". It matches the Rfam family "Bacterial small subunit ribosomal RNA", at positions 196 to 716 of the family's 1533-position model. Lineage: Bacteria; Bacillati; Bacillota; Clostridia; Eubacteriales; Clostridiaceae. The record is from RNAcentral.